UUGGCAAACCAAUUGAAAAAUUGAGACGCAAAGUCAGGUGUCUAAACGAUUAUUCGCAUGAUAGACCGGCUGCA
RNAcentral lists this non-coding RNA (74 nucleotides) under bovine gut metagenome. Its description in RNAcentral is "Cyclic di-GMP-I riboswitch". It matches the Rfam family "c-di-GMP-I riboswitch aptamer", at positions 12 to 83 of the family's 87-position model. Rfam says of the family: GEMM was predicted in a large-scale screen for bacterial structured RNA regulatory elements. Genes associated with GEMM are involved in a diverse array of functions, including chemotaxis regulation, signal transduction, secretion and chitin. The record is from RNAcentral.